This 535-nucleotide ribosomal RNA is filed under the name uncultured Actinomycetes bacterium. RNAcentral's name for it is "bacterial SSU rRNA". It matches the Rfam family "Bacterial small subunit ribosomal RNA", at positions 875 to 1413 of the family's 1533-position model. The record is from RNAcentral. Lineage: Bacteria; Bacillati; Actinomycetota; Actinomycetes.
GGGGAGUACGAUCGCAAGAUUAAAACUCAAAGGAAUUGACGGGGCCCCGCACAAGCAGCGGAGCAUGCGGCUUAAUUCGACGCAACGCGAAGAACCCUACCAAGGCUUGACAUAUACAGGAAUAUGGCAGAGAUGUCAUAGCCGCAAGGUCUGUAUACAGGUGGUGCAUGGUUGUCGUCAGCUCGUGUCGUGAGAUGUUGGGUUAAGUCCCGCAACGAGCGCAACCCUCGUUCUGUGUUGCCAGCAUUUAGUUGGGGACUCACAGGAGACUGCCGGGGUUAACUCGGAGGAAGGUGGGGAUGACGUCAAAUCAUCAUGCCCCUUAUGUCUUGGGCUGCACGCAUGCUACAAUGGCUGGUACAAACGGCUGCGAUACCGCAAGGUGGAGCGAAUCCGAUAAAGCCAGUCUCAGUUCGGAUUGGGGUCUGCAACUCGACCCCAUGAAGUCGGAGUUGCUAGUAAUCGUAGAUCAGCAACGCUACGGUGAAUACGCUCCCGGGGCUUGUACACACCGCCCGUCACAUCACGAAAGUCG